Molecule: ribosomal RNA, 492 nt
Filed under: uncultured bacterium
Lineage: Bacteria
Description: partial 16S ribosomal RNA
Rfam family: Bacterial small subunit ribosomal RNA
Source: RNAcentral
AGUGAACGCUGGCGGUAGGCCUAACACAUGCAAGUCGAACGGCAGCACAGUAAGAGCUUGCUCUUACGGGUGGCGAGUGGCGGACGGGUGAGGAAUACAUCGGAAUCUACUUUUUCGUGGGGGAUAACGUAGGGAAACUUACGCUAAUACCGCAUACGACCUACGGGUGAAAGCAGGGGAUCUUCGGACCUUGCGCGAUUGAAUGAGCCGAUGUCGGAUUAGCUAGUUGGCGGGGUAAAGGCCCACCAAGGCGACGAUCCGUAGCUGGUCUGAGAGGAUGAUCGGCCACCCUGGAACUGAGACACGGUCCAGACUCCUACGGGAGGCAGCAGUGGGGAAUAUUGGACAAUGGGCGCAAGCCUGGUCCAGCCAUACCGCGUGGGUGAAGAAGGCCUUCGGGUUGUAAAGCCCUUUUGUUGGGAAAGAAAAGCAGCAGGUUAAUACCCCGCUGUUCUGACGGUACCCAAUGAAUAAGCACCGGCUAACUUCGUG